ACUUUCCGUCUACAAAAAAGGCCAUAAACACACACAGGCUGCAAAUUGCCACCACUCUUCUCCUAGAGACAGAUGACUUGACAAACAUCUGUCAUUUCUGCGGGGAAGAAGAGCAUGAAACUGAAAACAAAUGGAUUCAGUUUGAGAUGUGUUUGCAGUGGUUCCACCAGCUCUGCGUGAAAAGCCCACCACCAGAAGAUGUGUUUAUUUGUCUCGCUUGUACAUAGUUGACACUAAAGGUCCACAGCUAGUGUUCUUAUGGCACACAUUGUCGAGAACACAUAUCUACAUAUAUAGAUGUUAAAUUAAGAAGUCUAAAAAAACCAAAUGGUC
Astatotilapia calliptera (eastern happy) is the source of this 333-nucleotide long non-coding RNA. Lineage: Eukaryota; Metazoa; Chordata; Actinopteri; Cichliformes; Cichlidae. The record is from Ensembl.